This is a long non-coding RNA of Oreochromis niloticus (Nile tilapia), 344 nucleotides long. RefSeq lists it as uncharacterized. The transcript is spliced from 2 exons. NCBI's taxonomy places the organism in Eukaryota, Metazoa, Chordata, Actinopteri, Cichliformes, Cichlidae. The record is from RefSeq and is a predicted model, not a curated record.
CUCGCUCAGACACACAACUUCCAGAGACUCCACACCACAGCAGGGGAAUGACUGGAAUAAAUAAGGAAUAAUCAAGGAAUCGCUCUGACUCUCAAGCUGAUGAACCACAGUCUUUCACAAAGUUCACAUAACCAUGACACAUCGCUGCAGUAUCAGAUCAGGUAUCUUCCUCCAUGAGGAUAAUAUUUCAUGUACAGGACAUUCGUUUUCUAGUCAACUUCAGCGAUGAGCCACCACCGGUGUCUGUCCAUCCAUCAUCUUCUGACCUUCAGCACUGUACCCUGACGGCUGCCCGGGGCACACUGGAGAGUGACUAAUGUCAUCUCAGCUGCCACCUCCCCGCA